UGCUCAGCACCACUGCCCCUUUACUACCAAGGCAACCGUGGACGACUUAAGACCAUGUUUAUUUUUAAAAAAUAAUAAAUAGAUAAAUAAGGGUGAAAAAGAACCCAAGAAUUUUAUUGUUAUGUUAAUUUAAAGUUUUUGAACAAUGGAUUUCUGGCAAAGAGCUGAUGGACACUCUUCCUAGAAUUCUAGAAGUGGAUUUCCUGGGGGCCAGUUUCAGGGUUCACAUGGGAAGCUCCUGAAUUUGCAAACCAACAAUUAUUCAUGUAAGGAAGUAAUGGACUUUUUUGGAGAAUUACAGAUUGGCAUAGAUGAGGUAAUGUCUUAGCAGAUUUUGA
Molecule: long non-coding RNA, 338 nt
Filed under: Mustela putorius furo (domestic ferret)
Lineage: Eukaryota; Metazoa; Chordata; Mammalia; Carnivora; Mustelidae
Description: lncRNA (ENSMPUG00000029788.1)
Source: RNAcentral